CACCGCGAGAUGGGGUCCGAAAGAAGGUCUAGGCAAAAUCCCGUGGCGAUGAACAAGAAGCGGAUAGUAGGCAGUGGAGUGGGGCGAGCCUGCGCCAGAUGGCGAAGCCCGAUGCGGUACGGACACCAAGCUGUAUAUCCGACGC
RNAcentral lists this non-coding RNA (145 nucleotides) under human gut metagenome. The record is from RNAcentral.